RNAcentral lists this ribosomal RNA (490 nucleotides) under uncultured bacterium. RNAcentral's name for it is "partial 16S ribosomal RNA". It matches the Rfam family "Bacterial small subunit ribosomal RNA", at positions 30 to 507 of the family's 1533-position model. The record is from RNAcentral.
AUUGAACGCUGGCGGCAGGCCUAACACAUGCAAGUCGAACGGUAACAGGAAACAGCUUGCUGUUUCGCUGACGAGUGGCGGACGGGUGAGUAAUGUCUGGGAAACUGCCUGAUGGAGGGGGAUAACUACUGGAAACGGUAGCUAAUACCGCAUAACGUCGCAAGACCAAAGAGGGGGACCUUCGGGCCUCUUGCCAUCGGAUGUGCCCAGAUGGGAUUAGCUAGUAGGUGGGGUAACGGCUCACCUAGGCGACGAUCCCUAGCUGGUCUGAGAGGAUGACCAGCCACACUGGAACUGAGGCACGGUCCAGACUCCUACGGAAGGCAGCAGUGGGGAAUAUUGCACAAUGGGCGCAAGCCUGAUGCAGCCAUGCCGCGUGUAUGAAGAAGGCCUUCGGGUUGUAAAGUACUUUCAGCGGGGAUGAAGGGAGUAAAGUUAAUACCUUUGCUCAUUGACGUUACCCGCAGAAGAAGCACCGGCUAACUCCGUG